This is a long non-coding RNA of Vicia villosa (hairy vetch), 2353 nucleotides long. RefSeq lists it as uncharacterized. The transcript has 6 exons. NCBI's taxonomy places the organism in Eukaryota, Viridiplantae, Streptophyta, Magnoliopsida, Fabales, Fabaceae. The record is from RefSeq and is a predicted model, not a curated record.
CAGAGAGGAGGCGAAUUUUCUAACCCUUAUUAGUUGACACUGUACAGAACAAUCGGAACCUGGCCUUCCUUUCCUAUACCGCAUACGUAAUACUCCCACCCACUGUACAUAUUUUACUUUAAUUUUCUAACAUUCUUGGGAAACCACAUAAAAAGAAACUUGUGAGAAUUUCACUAAAACAACAACUACGUCUGAAAAGUUCCGACGUCCACAUCGACAGUAACACCAUUGUUUCGCCUCCCCAUACCCGCCGUAGAACCACCACCGACAGCCUAGCAAACAUGUGAUCCCAACAGCCACUGAGCAGAUCGAAAAACUCACUUCCGCGGGCCACCUCCCUCCGAUCAGAACCGUGCCAAUAUCCUCCACCGUGAGACUCCACGGAAACGACCGCCCUCCGCAGACUCAACCGACAAACCACCGUCCCCCGUCCCUCACGCUGACGGUCCGCAGUAACGCCCACCGCACUCUCGCAACAACGCCCUUCCGGAUCGUCCCCUCCGAUUCAGCCGCGCCACCAUCAUCACAAUGACACAAUUCUACAAUUUCAACAACGAUUUCGACGCCGACGACAUCGCGAGUCUACUCCGCCACUGAGAUCCAUUAGGUAACAUUUUUACACAAAGAGGAGGCGAAUUUUCUAACCCUUAUUAGUUGACACUGUACAGAACAAUCGGAACCUGGCCUUCCUUUCCUAUACCGCAUACGUAAUACUCCCACCCACUGUACAUAUUUUACUUUAAUUUUCUAACAUUCUUGGGAAACCACAUAAAAAGAAACUUGUGAGAAUUUCACUAAAACAACAACUACGUCUGAAAAGUUCCGACGUCCACAUCGACAGUAACACCAUUGUUUCGCCUCCCCAUACCCGCCGUAGAACCACCACCGACAGCCUAGCAAACAUGUGAUCCCAACAGCCACUGAGCAGAUCGAAAAACUCACUUCCGCGGGCCACCUCCCUCCGAUCAGAACCGUGCCAAUAUCCUCCACCGUGAGACUCCACGGAAACGACCGCCCUCCGCAGACUCAACCGACAAACCACCGUCCCCCGUCCCUCACGCUGACGGUCCGCAGUAACGCCCACCGCACUCUCGCAACAACGCCCUUCCGGAUCGUCCCCUCCGAUUCAGCCGCGCCACCAUCAUCACAAUGACACAAUUCUACAAUUUCAACAACGAUUUCGACGCCGACGACAUCGCGAGUCUACUCCGCCACUGAGAUCCAUUAGAAUACACGUUUCUGAGACACAACUUGAGUAGCAGCAACAACAACAACAUGAUCAUGAAGAGAUGGAUCUCAAGAGUAAUGUUUUUGUCGUCAGCUUUUUCAAUUGUACUUUCUUAGCGGCAGAGGCGGAUCUGGGUUUUCGUGGGGUGAUGGUGGUCGGAGUUGAAAAAAUAAUGGCGAUAGUUAUGUUUUUCAGUGAUGAAUUUAUCGUUGGUGUUCGAUCACGGUGUCCGCAGAUGAUUAUUUUGAAAGAAGUUCGGUUUCAAUGUUUUUUCUUUUUGAUUUGCUAUGUUAAUCUGUUUGGUACUUGAUGGGUUUUAUAGACAUCGCCAAAAGAGGUUUAGUUUUUGUUUUCUAGUUUCAUCCGAACACACAAAUUCAUUGGAGUGGUUGUUGAAACCUAUCACAGAUAGCACCUUGCAGCUGUUUGUGCUUAUUUCUCUAUGGAUAUCUGUGGUGGAAAAUCAGUGGCGAGAUUUAUUGCGGCGAGAUUUCGAUCUGUAGUGGGAGGUCUAGAGGUCAAUAGUGAUAUUCAAUCAUUAGAUGGAGUGAUUUGGAGAUGAAAAUUCUUAUUGAUGUGCAAGGGUAUCAUACAACUUGCUGGAUGAUUCUUUCUCUCUCUGAAGCAAUUUUAUUAAUAUGGAGAAGAAGUUGGCUGCGGUGUGUCAAACUCUGGGUUAAAGCAAUCGUCGGAAGCCGCUGUUCUGAGGUGCUGCGGAGGGAGUCUUCGUUUGGAGGUGAUCCUAUUUUGAGUUCUCCUUUCUUCUGUUUCUUCCGAAUCCAUUUUUUCUCUAUUUCGUAAUGUUAUUCGUAGGUUAUUGCGGAGAGGUUAUCCGAGGAAGAAAUUGGUAGUUUGAAAUAUUAGGUUCUACAUUAUGUCGGUGUUGGUUCACGGAGGGCGACGAUUACUAUUCCCAAACAGAUUGAUAAACAUAUAUAAUAUUGAAAUGAAGAAAGAACAUGUCUUCAAAGCUUUCUACAUUAAGAACUAUCAUGGUUCCACAAAGCUUCUAUAUGCACAAAUUUAUACGAAACCUGUCACAAAUUUAUAAUUCAUAGUGUUUACAUUUAUAAUUCAUAGUGUUUACAUAUUGUUUCUACAUUGAAAUGAAAAUUUGUCGCAUUU